AAUGAACGCUGGCGGCAGGCCUAAACAUGCAAGUCGAACGCUGUAGCAAUACAGAGUGGCGCACGGGUGAGUAACAUGUGGGAAUAUGCCUAUUGGUACGGAACAACGUUUGGAAACGAACGCUAAUACCGUAUGGUCCCUUCGGGGUAAAGAUUUAUCGCCAAUAGAUUAGCCCGCACUAGAUUAGUUAGUUGGUGAGGUAAGAGCUCACCAAGGCGACGAUCUAUAGCUGGUCUGAGAGGACGAUCAGCCACACUGGGACUGAGACACGGCCCAGACUCCUACGGGAGGCAGCAGUUAGGAAUAUUGGACAAUGGGCGCAAGCCUGAUCCAGCCAUGCCGCGUGAGUGAUGAAGGCCUCGG
RNAcentral lists this ribosomal RNA (363 nucleotides) under uncultured bacterium. RNAcentral describes it as "bacterial SSU rRNA". It matches the Rfam family "Bacterial small subunit ribosomal RNA", at positions 29 to 420 of the family's 1533-position model. The record is from RNAcentral.